AAAUAUUACCUACGAAACUUGCCAAAUGACCAAAUUCACAAUAGACAGUAGAUAUCACUUCAUAUAGCAUCACUCGGGCCAAACUUUGUUCAGAUUACAUAGCACACACCGACGUAACACGCUGGAACAAUGUGAUUGGGUUCAGAUUACAUAGCACACGUAUAAUUAACACACACUGGAACAAUGCCGCAUGUGGAUUUGCAUUCUCUGCUUUGUUCUUGGCUCAGUUGCGUUGGUUGUCACAAUGGCUAUUACGUGUGUACGAUAGCUUAGCUACAGCUUGCAGGUUGUAUGAUGUGAUGGAUGCCGGCGUCACCCAAGAAGGCUCACACCAAGCAUCUUCUCCAUGUAUCAUGCGGCCGCUGCAGCGGACAUAAGGGACCUCGUGUGUGCGACAGGCUUGGAUGUAGCAGAAGCCGAGCCAGGAGAGCCACGCGACAGGCAGGUGGUGGAGAUCAUCUUCUCAUCCGGCAACGAGAUGAUGCGCUUCGAGUGCCGCCCAGCCGCAUGCGCGCGAGGAGCACGCGCCUCGUCUCCAGCCGGUGACGCGGUUCGUUGCGGCGCCACACAAACUACGGGAACGGCCUUGCACGCAAACAGGUGGAUCGGCCGAUGCAUGCGCUGCUGCCGGCGCCAGCAAUCGAUCUCUCCCCGCCCAUGGAUCUAGGGUUUGCUUUCAGGGAAUUGGGGAAUUUUUCUCCUCACGUCGGGUCGGGUUGUAACAUUUCCUGUGAGGACAACGCGACUCUUCCUGCUGACAUGUCAAGGUGCGAGGGUUGAAGGGCAAGCCAAUAAACAUCCUGGGCCGUAUCACAAAAGUCCAAGAUGAAUCGUAAUUUUUUGCUUACGUAUUGGCUGCGCGUCGCGAGGAUCGUCUCCAGGACCGUAUGUGGGCUGGAUUUUCAAGUACCAGGACUGUACUGGAGCGCUUCGGAGGUAUCAGGACC
RNAcentral lists this long non-coding RNA (947 nucleotides) under Hordeum vulgare. Its description in RNAcentral is "long non-coding RNA (HVUL_LNC003320)". Lineage: Eukaryota; Viridiplantae; Streptophyta; Magnoliopsida; Poales; Poaceae. The record is from RNAcentral.